UUGGUUCAGGAAAAUGAAUUCUGUGAUGCUUCUGUAAAACCACCUCUGAUUGGGCCGAUCCAAAGGCGGUGAUAACAAACCUGAGAGGGUCUGAACCUGAAAAGUUGCCUCAUUCUACAGAAAGACUUGAAAGCUGUGAGCCCCAACUACUGUCAUAAAGACCAGAAAGAACGUCCAGAAAGUCUGUGUUCCAGAAAGAACGUCAACCAAAUGCUUCCAAAGUGACCUACUCAGGGUGCCACUUGCCCCCAUCCGGCCAGGAGUGUGACACUCCCACAGGGGAAGGUGCCUGGUACAGUUUGCAUCCAGACUGCGGGGCAGACACAGCAGUAGCUGACCACAUCCCCGUUCUUAUAGCAUCGCUGGGUCCUUUGUUAAGGGCAGACGGCAGCAGCUGAAAAGGAGCUUUACAUCUUGUGCCACAAGAAUCUCAUUCAAGCAGGAAGACAACGGAAGGAGAAGGCAAACUUUGAGCCCUCUCUGAGUUCUCCCUAGCGGUCUGAAGCAAAGCAGUCACGCCGAAGGCAGCUAUUCUCCAGUCUUCACUAGGGGCCCAAUCCUGGAACGUGCUGAGGUCACUUAACAGCACUCGGGAACCUUCCAGGAUCAGGCCCCAUAAUUCAUAUACCAGGCUAUUAUUAUCACGUAGCAUUUAUACUGCACUGGUGCCUAGACGCCAGCCAGGCCUGGGGCCAGCUGUGCUGGGGACUCCAACAGACAGAGCUCGUGUCUUCCUGUAUGCAAACCACACAUAGCCAUGUGCUGAAAUCAGAGCACAGGGGAAACGCUAAUGUUAGCAUGGUAUCAAAGCACCACGCCAGCUGUUAGAGACAUGGUCUCUGGUGCCCAUUUGUGAAAUGCUACAGGCACAGGAGGGUCUGCGGGACUGUGAAGAACAGAGGAGAUAUGGGGAUUUU
Non-coding RNA from Chelonoidis abingdonii (Abingdon island giant tortoise), 917 nucleotides. NCBI's taxonomy places the organism in Eukaryota, Metazoa, Chordata, Testudines, Testudinidae. The record is from RefSeq and is a predicted model, not a curated record.